UUGCGCUGCUACCAUGCAAGUCGAACGGGAAGUGGAGCAAUCCAUGAGUAUAGUGGCGACCGGGUGAGUAACACGUGACUACCUGCCCUUGAGUGGGGGAUAACCUCGGGAAACCGAGGCUAAUACCGCAUAAUAUCGCAAGAUCAAAGGAGCAAUCCGCUUUUGGAGGGGGUCGCGGCUGAUUAGCUAGUUGGUAAGGUAAUGGCUUACCAAGGCAAAGAUCGGUAUCCGGCCUGAGAGGGCGCUCGGACACACUGGAACUGAAACACGGUCCAGACUCCUACGGGAGGCAGCAGUGGGGAAUUUUGCGCAAUGGGGGAAACCCUGACGCAGCAACGCCGCGUGGAGGAUGAAGCCCCUUGGGGCGUAAACUCCUUUCGGCCGGGAAGAUAAUGACGGUACCGGUGGAAGAAGCACCGGCUAACUCUGUGCCAGCAGCCGCGGUAAUACAGAGGGUGCGAGCGUUGUUCGGAAUUAUUGGGCGUAAAGGGCGCGUAGGCGGUGCGGUAAGUCACCUGUGAAACCUCUGGGCUUAACUCAGAGCCUGCAGGCGAAACUGCCGUGCUGGAGGGUGGGAGAGGUGC
Molecule: ribosomal RNA, 584 nt
Filed under: uncultured bacterium
Lineage: Bacteria
Description: bacterial SSU rRNA
Rfam family: Bacterial small subunit ribosomal RNA
Source: RNAcentral